GCAUUUUAAUGGUGUGGAGUCAGGCCAGGCCAGGCCAGGCCAGGCCAGGCCAGCGCCACGCUGUGCCAUUUUCCCAUCCCAUCUAUACUACAGUAGAAGAGAUUUGAGCUGCAAAGUCACAUGGGCCGUGUGAAGAUCAAAAAGACGAUAGCGUGUCGGCGGAGGACAGAUCCCACCUCAAAGCCAGCAAACAUCAUCCCUCAUCAGGACUACAGUGCCUCGAGGAUUUGCUGUUAAUCUCUUAAUGCCAACACAUGUUGCGAGACAGCGGCCAAGUGGCUCAAGCGCAGCCAGGUCACUCAAUGACCGAUGAUGACUUUUACAGCGGUGUGGCAGCGCCAACGGACCGCUGUUCAUAUUUGGAAAGUCGUGGAAACAGGAUGGUCAGAGGCAGAGUGAAGGGUGCCAUUUGAUGCCUCAUCAGGCUCUUUGCUUGCAAGACUUUAUCAACGCUUUGAAGUUCUCCAUCAAUCCCACGGUGUGGUUUCAUUUGUUUCCAAAGUGUUCCUACUUGUUGCCAAAGACAUUUUAACAGUGAGACGAGACGUACGUACCUGCUAAGCAGCGCUCGACUGACGUCGGAGCGAGCGUGCAGCGACAGGCUUUGUGAGACACAACAACAGAAAGAACGAAAGAAACGCCAUUGAGUCCAAGUCAUUACAUGAACCACCAAUGAAAGACUCACUGUCCUCUGAUGUUGCCCAGUUACUCCAAACAUUCUUUGGUUUGGAUUAAAACAGUGAAGAAGCAAUGGUUUUCCGGAGAAGGAGCAUCACAAGUUGCCGUGCGAGGAACGUGGCGGAUGGAGAAGUGGAACAGAUGUUUUGUCUGUUCAAUGCUUUUCUGGAUGAGAGAGAGGAAAAGCUGGAGCGCUAUUAUCAUUGACAGGUCGUGGCAGGUGGAAAGCUGCAACGCUAUUAUCAUGGCAGCAGCAGGUUUGUUUGGCUGCUGCUUCACUUCUUCUCUGCUCUUCUCGUAGUUGACCUUGUUGAUUUGGAGCAACUCAUAACGAAUGUUGCCUUUCCGAACGGUUGAAAGGCCGGCCACAACCUUGACACUGUGAGAGCAAGGUGCUAAGCCCGAGCUGAGUGUGCCGCCUACCGUCAGGUCAAGCCAAUUGGAAUCACCUCUGCUUUCCUUCCCAUCACCACCUUUGUUAGGAUGAACAAGACAUUGUUCUUUUCUCUUACGUUCCUGACAAAAGACGACGGUGUCCAAAUCAAACAAAGAAUGUUUUGACGAGCUGAUCUCUCAACCUUUCCAUCUCGCUCACGUAUGGGAACGGACCACCUGAGUCCUGACCCCGUGUUAUGGGAUUCUGUGGGAAUGCGAGUCGAGGACCAAACAGAGACGCUCGGUCCUGUCUUGGCUUGACGCCGAUGACGCAAGCGGCGUCCGCAGAUGUUAGCGUUCCCAACCUCAAAUGACACUGCGCUCAUGCGCCAUCUAAGUAUACAUGGCGGCGACUGCUUUUUCACACGUGCUCAUGAAUGGCCUUUGGUGGUAAAGCCCAAGCACGCACGCACGCACGCACGCACAUAAUGAAUGGCGCGGCAGAGCAGCUUAGAAGAGAUACAAGGACAAAAGAGAAGUGGGUGCGACGCCACGCCAACAGUAACCUCACUUCCGCUAGCUUGCCUGCGUGGCUGCCUGCCUGCUUUGGGCGGGGAAUGAGAGAGCGCAUUUCGUAAAGCAGCCGCAAAAACUGGAAAAAAUGACAAGGGAGGUGAUUGGCUCUGAGCGUACUGCCUGACUCUUGCUCCCUUGUGAUUGGUUGACAGAUAUGGCCUCACCUUAACUGAGGGUUACUACGGUUCAGUGACGUGGAGAUUUCCUUCCCGGUAUUCGUGGGUGCGUGCAUGCGUGCGUGAGUGACUCUGGAGCGUGUUUUUCAAAUUAGCGACAGACAAGUCAGCAUGUUCAGACACAUUCCACGUCUUUCAGUCACUCACUUCCUCCCUCACUGUUGUAUCACUGCCAUUGAUCUGCUUCCGGUGGCCAGAAUGUGUCGCUUCCGGCCAGUUGAUUCCGGGGUAUGAAAGAAAAAUAGGAAUCAUGGCUCGGGUUCUAUUCGUAGCGUGCUAACCAAUGUCCAAGUAUUACUGUUCUCUGCCAAAGUGAAAAUCAGAGGGUGACUCGAAGCCUAACCUAAACCCUUGGCCAAACCUGAAGCCCCUUUUUGAAAGGACUUGUUGGAGUCUAUCCCAGAUGACUUUGGAUGGGAGUGCUCGCAAAUUCCAGGGUCCAUAUAAACCACCCAUUCACAUUGAUAAACCGAAUAUGCAUGUUUUUGGUUUUGAUUAUGUCUGAUCAAAUCAUGUAACUGGAAGUGGACAAAACAUUGUACAAAUAAUCUGGAUUUAGUAUCAUUGAACCACAAGUGACAGUUAGCAGAACUGCACAGCAAAUGAAAAAAGAAAGAAAGACAUCAACCUGACAAGAAACAUUUGAGUGAUCCUGACCCGGUACUUUUGUGUUAUCAUGCAAACAUGAUAGAAGCUGUAACCUCCUUGGCAAAGGGAAUCAUUACGCAACAUUAUUUGUUUAAUAGUGGAAAGUAAACAGAGAUGGUAACUUCAGGUCCACAAAUUGAAAACCAUUUGCCACAGAUGCAGGAGCUCCAGCAAGGUCCCUGCUGCUUGAGUAAAACUGAAAGUAGAACAAAUCACAUCACAUCAGGAGAAGCCAGACGUGGAAAUCCGUCGAAUGUUGGCUUUCCAUCCAAUUACAAAGUAUGUUGCAUGAGACCCGAGGUGUUUGUGUCAUGAGGGCAUUUGGCUGAGAAACAGGUGCCGUGCGUCUUCCCCGUCCGUCAAGGUGUGCAGGGAGCAACAAGGGACGACAUGCACACCGAGGUGAGGUUGCUGGACAUGUAACCGUUCAUGUUUUGGAAAUGUGAAAACCCAAAGCUUCAAAUUCUGGAUUGUGCAAGUGCAACCACCUACUCACUGUUGUGCUAAGUGAGCGAGCGAGCGAGCGGUGCAUGUUUGGCUUGUUCAUAAUGUCAUAAGUGGUCCCCCCACCCACCUUUGACACGUAUGCCUCAGCACAGCAGCAGCAUGAGACUUUUUGAAAAUGGGUGGAAGCCACGUCUUCCUGUCUCAGCCCCAUGAGUUCAAGGUCUUUGAUUGAAAGGCAAGAUUCAAGAGAUUCAAGGCAUGGCCCACAGCUGCCGCCGCCGCCGCCGCCGCCGCCGCCACCUCUGAUGAAUAAAGUUAAGCUCUUCAAGUCGGAUUUUGCACUAAUGCUGACUGGUAUUUGGAGCUCUUGCGUGAUUUGAACUGUGAUCAAACCAAAGUGUGUUUUGUGGCCCAUUCAAUUCCUUGAAAAUGAAUUUGUAGCCUUCUCCUGAGCGGCACCUUUGAACAAUGAUGCCGUGCUAGCUCUCCGCUAACAGUGAAAUGUGAGCGCAAAAGUGUCAGGAUAAGCCUCCUGGAACAUCUGAACUUUGCUUGGGCUUACCAUUUGAAUACGGAUCACGACACUUUUGCACUUUUCGUCUCCAUACGGUAGCAGAUUAGUACGCAGUCAGGUGAUGUGACGAGCGUACAAUGGUCUUGUGCAAACGUGUCGAUGACAUUCCAAAGCAGUGAGGGGAAAUGCCGCAAUAUGCGUCAUAAUGAGCUGGAUCUUUUGCAACAUUCUUACACUGGAUUGUGUUCAUCUCGGUUCUCCACACGGACAAUCGGAGGCAUACCGCCGCUCAGCAUUCACCAAAAAUGACAGUUGCUAAGCAUAACAAGAAGUCCAUUUUUCAGAUUGAAAAUGCAAUGAGUAAAGGGGCUAAGCGCGCCCACUUGGAGCUAACGUGCUGUGUGGCGCUAACUAACGUUUUGGACAUGGACAUCAAUCGUUGAAACCAUUGUUUUUGCCUUUGAAUGUGGUGUCCUUAUGGUAGAUGUCACCUGAGCUUGACACCCAAUGGGGUGCACACCUGUUCACACGCUAGCCCGGCCUCUUUCUGAGCCCUCCAACUCACCCUGAUGUCUCUAAAUCAGACCUGUUCCACCAGGCCCCUGAACAAAAGAAAAAGAACACCUCCUUGUAAAUGUCAUCGGAGGCACAACCAAAGUAACCAUUGUUUGCCUUUUCAGCGUAUAUCAAAGUGCACGGUGCGGGAAUCGUGAUCACUCACUCCUGUCUCUUCACCAAGUAGCCAUGGAGUGGUGUGAAGAAUCUGGGCAGCGGACAAAGUUAAGAGUCAGCAAAGAAGUCCAAGCCAGACUAGUUAGGUGAACAUUUUGGGAGAAAAAAAAAGAAUGAAGGUUUAUGUAAGCUAGAUAUAGAGCAUUUGAUAGGGCUAAACGGUGGAAAGAAUGUUAGCUCAGAGCUACAAAAGGUGCUGAAUUGAAAAAAAGCACUGGAGUGUAACAGUGGUGAGGAAGCGUGCCAUGCCUUUCCAAAUAUAUUCGCUUGCUUUGGGACGGACAGAUUCUGUGUUCUUGAAUUCAUUUGCUCAAGCUUCAUUUGAGUGUGUUGCUCACACAUCAUCUGGUCGGUCCCAGAAAAGCGACACAUUGCAAAAGGUUAACCUGCAAAUUGAAAGUUUGACUUGAAAAUACUUUGACUUUUAAAUGGUAACUCUAAGUGGAAAGCCCUCAUUUGAAAUCCUCUAACUGACUUGCGAGCGAUCAGUGUGAAAGUCAAAAGCAGGCAGGCAGGCAGGCAGGCAGAGCUGAUGCAAUUGCUCAUCCUGCUGCUGCUGCUGCUGUUUCACUGCAAUGAAUUGAUGUUCCGCUUUGGUGCCACGAGAGCACAUUUCCAGCCUUCCUUUUACAGCUGCCGCAUCUUCAUCAAAUCUGCCUUGGCCUCAAAGUGAAUGAACAAAUAGAAAGUUCAAGGGGAUGUGUCCAUUUUCUUGAUGUCUGUAUUUCCAUCAUGACGAACUAGGAUAUUUCCAGCGUGGAGGGAGGCCUCUUGUGUUGAACAUAGAACAUAGACAUACCAAGUGGUUCCUCUAUGUCAGAGUAAAGUCAAGUGUUCUGCUGAGGUAACCAGUGGUGAUCUUGGACACGUGAUAUCCACAGAAGAAGCCUCACUUUUAUUCUAUUAAUACACUCUUACAUGAGGCUAGGCUCUCCGUGCCAAAAAAGGUGCAACAAGCUGAGGACAAGGGCACCUUCACUUCUCAACUGGCUUGAUGGACGGCAGCCCAUUGGGCAGAAACUUGUGUUGACUCACUGGAAAGACAAAUGACGCACUGCAACUCGACGCCUCGCUUCACGCAAAAGAGCUCGGACUAAAUUAAGACUGGCGGCGGCAGCGGCGGCGGCAGCGGCGGAGGCAGCGGCGGCGGCGGCGGGGCAGCAGAGGGUGCAAGGGCGUCACCCCACCUCUGACGGUGACGGCGAGCACCGCAUUAUUUCCCUUGCAUAACAAUCAUGGGAAAAAAAAGCUUUCUUUCUAAUGUUCCUGACAACUCACUCAGCACUGCUAGCAGAAGGCCUUCCCGAUCCAUUGAAAGAAGCCCAGUAUCAUGAUUUUUUUUUUUUUCAUUCAUUUGUGUUGUCAGCUGACGUCUCAUCUUGGCUCGGGAACUCCGGCCGACCCCGGGGGAGCCGUGAGCAACAGCCGACUUCGACAAUAUUUACUUGCGACUCUCAAGAGUAUCUACAUUUGCCCCGUCCUCUCCUGCAUGCUUGAACGGAUAUCCAUCCAUCCAUCCAUCCAUCCAUCCAUCCAUCCAUCCAUCCAUCCCAUCCAUCCCAUCCAUCCCAUCCAUCCCAUCCAUCCCAUCCAUCCCAUCCAUCCCAUCCAUCCCAUCCACACUGGCUUGUUGGUAUUCCUGCAGUAUAUCUCAAUGGCAUCUCUGUGUUGUUGGAAUCAAUCACAGGGCCCCCCCUGAAAAAGCGCAUUACCCUCGGAACUCCUCGGUUUGGGUGUGAUUCUGGACAUCGGGAUGCCUAGAAAGCGGGCCAAUGCCAGUUUCCACGGUAGCCGAAUCAAAGGGAGUCUUUUCUGAGCCCGGUGUGUGUUUGUGAAGCGGGUGUGAAAAGAUGGCUCUGUAUGCCGGAGGUCCCGGCCAGGCCAGGUCCGCUGACAGCCGCUUUGCACUUCUCCCCUGCUCGGUGUGGAAGGGAAAAGACAGAAGGCACGUUUCCCGGUCCUGGCGAGGCGCCACUCGGGGGAGCGGCUCACUGUUGGGGUUUACAAGAGGAAGUAAACAGAGCAUUGUGCACGGUAAUCACAGCUUCAUGACAUGACCGGGCCUCAGAAAUGGUCAUAUUUUGCCAUCACAUGGGAGGAGAACAUAGUGGAGAUGUCUUACUCAAAGAAUACAUUUCUUGUGCAAAUGUUUACAAAUGACUCACGUCUGUGCAACUGGCACGCCUUAUCAUUUCUUUGCCUGGAUGUACGUUACUGACGGAUCUUGGUGGGAGCUUCUGUUCAACGCCCACGGUGACUCACCGGCUGGUAAAGAGGAGCUCACGCCUGGAGACAUCCUGAAAUGUGAGUUGACCGAUAAGACGCUUGAGUCCGACUUGGGAAACAAAAGGUUCACCAAAGGGUGAAGGGGAUAUUUCGGCACAACCAGUACCACCAGCCUUUCCGGUUAUCUCGAAUCAAGUUCUCGGAGGCCUCGAGAAUGUCAAGUGAAAGUUCAAGGAGUUCCCGUCAGUGUCUGAUUGCUGCAACCACCAUUACUAUUGACACUAGCAACUCAGUGAUGUGUUAUUGAAGGUUUUCCACGAUUUCAUGUUUCAAGGGCUGGCUCCCCGCGUAGCACACAAGGUAGGUUUGUUCACAGUUAUUAUCUUAGCACCACUGUGAAUACAAUAAUUCCGCUAAGGAUCCUAUCAUUCCUAAACAAGCACGGGGCAACUCUUACCACAGAAUUGAAAAGGGGCUGACUCGGCUUCCGAGCUGUCAGACCAAAGCCUGACUUUGCACUAUACCUAUAUACAUGGCAGCUUCAUUUCUAUUGUGGCAUGUGAAAAAGGCACCUGGGACAGACUCCCCACAUCGUGGCAGAUGGAAGAGCAACCGCACACCCACUCAGGUUUGGAGCCUUCGCUCCGAGGGGCCAAACAUAAUAAUAACCUUGCGUUUCGUCAAUUUGCACGCAGACGUUCCAUGUUACACGGCCAGCGAAAGCAGAACAUAACCACAUUGUGAAUGGUGGAAGUUGGAGGGAGUCAUUUGUUCAUCAUCUAAUUCGAGGGGGGGGUCAACGAAAUGUGACCCAGUCGUACAUUGACUUUUGAUUGACAACUUGCCCGUCUGUUCUCAACACACGUGAAACAAAGCGCAAACCGCAUUCUAUAGUCAGCAUUCUUUAUCUUCACACCUUAAACCACUAUUUUGGUUUUCUUCCAUUUGUUGUGCCAAUACACACAGCUCAUUCCUUGCCAUCGAGUAAGGGGCACGGCAAAAUACAACCUUUUGGUUCCCUCUGCUGGAUAUAGGGCUCCACUGCAGCUUUUUUUUGUCAAAUAUAUGACAACGUCAUAUUUGGGACGUGGCCUAGUGCAGUUAGAAUCAACCACAUGUAUUUUCACCCCCGGAGAAAUGCAACAUUUGAAAUAUGAAGACUACGACAAAUGUAUUUUGUGUAAGCCUAGCACUUCCGGGUUAUUUCCAAAGCAAAUACAUCGGAACAAGAUGGUAAUCCUCGUCACAGUUCAUUUCUUAAAAUGGCAAAUGUGCUAAUAUAUCAUAUUAUGACUUUAAUAAGAUAACUAUAAUGAAUGAACUGAUAGAAAAAAAGUCCGCAUUGUCAAGUUCUUCGAAAUUUGGCGUGUCAUAUACUGCGUUCCUACGUUAAACCCGGAAACGUCUUGCUCUUGUCUCAUCGCGCUUAUCUUUGUUCAUGUCUACGAGUACCCGAAUGGAAUGGGAUGGGAUGGGAUGGGAUGGGAUGGCGGCAGCCAUCUCGAGGACAUAGCAACCUGCUUAAUUCAUUCUGCUUUUACGUUCAUUCGGAGGUUGACUGGGAAACUGUAAAUGUACCUUCUCGAUUCGUUGUUUUUUUACUAUGGACCGUGACUGACAUUUUCUGAUUGCCAGAUGAACGUUUUAGGGACGGUACAAGAUAUGGCAGACUGCCUGAUUUGGGCUCAAGAGAAUGCACCACAAUUCAACUUUGACAAAGUAAGGAAUUUUGUUGUUCCCUGUCACGAUAAGGAGAUUGCCCUUUUUUUUUUUUUUUUUUAACUCCGUGAGUUUACUUCUGCAGCUACGGUACGUUUUGCCUAGCUCUUUCCCCAAUAGUCAUAGACAGCCAUCAGGGGACACUGCAGAAGCGCAUGAAAGUACAAUAAGCACUGUUGCGCCACCGAGCGUUGAGGUUGAUAAAUGACAUUUUUGAAGAAAAAAACCCAGCCCAUGGCAAAUGACUGUUUUGUCAACAUUUGUAUAAGUACUUCGUGUAUAAGUGUAUAAGAUACUUUACGUGCCGUGCCCUAUUUCUUGGAAUGUGUGCGUCUGACAAUACUUCAUGAAGCUUUUUACUUUUCUUUUGCCUCCACCCAUGGGGGACCGGGACGGGACGGGACGGGACGGGGGUCUUCUGGCACUUGUAAGUGGCUCUGAAUCUUCAAGCUGCGUUCCAAAAUGUCGCAAAGGACACUGGAGCUUGCGUUGUGCACACAAAAUCAAAGACAUUCCACAAUGCAGCAAUGCAUUUUGUAUUCACGGCGGUUGUUAAUGAAUGUCUCAAGGGGGUUCCCAGUUGCCGUCUCAUCCAACUCUAUUAGUUCUACACUUGUGACUCGCCCAUCCACUGUCAAAGCAAAUCAACAUGAGCUUGCUAAAUUGGGCUGCUUUUCAGACUUGCUUUUAGCAUAACUCGUUUCUCCAAAGAAGGAGCAUUAUUAAGGCUAGCUGUGUUUUGUUUAGGAUUGACAUUUGUUGAAGAAGCCCAUUUUUAGUUCUUUUGCAGGACAAUAUCGUUUGAAUCGGGCAUUCGGCGGCUGCGCAUUUGAAUUUGAAUUGAGGCGGUCUACAAAAUACAUUGUUUGCUCUUACUCGAAUGUUACAUUGCAGUUUCUGUGAUGAUGGACUAAAACAUAAUGGUUAUGUUUGUAGACCUAUUGUAACUUGUAAUAAAUUGAUCUGUGAAUUAUUGAUCAUUGACAAGU
Syngnathus typhle (broad-nosed pipefish) is the source of this 9080-nucleotide long non-coding RNA. RefSeq lists it as uncharacterized. The transcript has 4 exons. The record is from RefSeq and is a predicted model, not a curated record. Lineage: Eukaryota; Metazoa; Chordata; Actinopteri; Syngnathiformes; Syngnathidae.